Molecule: transfer RNA, 72 nt
Filed under: Daphnia galeata
Lineage: Eukaryota; Metazoa; Arthropoda; Branchiopoda; Diplostraca; Daphniidae
Rfam family: tRNA
About the family: Transfer RNA (tRNA) molecules are approximately 80 nucleotides in length. Their secondary structure includes four short double-helical elements and three loops (D, anti-codon, and T loops). Further hydrogen bonds mediate the characteristic L-shaped molecular structure. tRNAs have two regions of fundamental functional importance: the anti-codon, which is responsible for specific mRNA codon recognition, and the 3' end, to which the tRNAs corresponding amino acid is attached (by aminoacyl-tRNA synthetases). tRNAs cope with the degeneracy of the genetic code in two manners: having more than one tRNA (with a specific anti-codon) for a particular amino acid; and 'wobble' base-pairing, i.e. permitting non-standard base-pairing at the 3rd anti-codon position.
Source: Rfam by way of RNAcentral
GGGGGUAUAGCUCAGUGGUAGACCAUCCGACUGAAGAUCGGCUUGUCCCCGGCUCAAACCCGGGUGCUCCCU